Molecule: ribosomal RNA, 1372 nt
Filed under: uncultured bacterium
Lineage: Bacteria
Description: bacterial SSU rRNA
Rfam family: Bacterial small subunit ribosomal RNA
Source: RNAcentral
GAUGAACGCUGGCGGCGUGCCUAAUACAUGCAAGUCGAGCGAACGGACGAGAAGCUUGCUUCUCUGAUGUUAGCGGCGGACGGGUGAGUAACACGCGGAUAACCUACCUAUAAGACUGGGAUAACUUCGGGAAACCGGAGCUAAUACCGGAUGAUAUUUUGAACCGCAUGGUUCAAAAGUGAAAGACGGUCUUGCUGUCACUUAUAGAUGGAUCCGCGCUGCAUUAGCUAGUUGGUAAGGUAACGGCUUACCAAGGCAACGAUGCAUAGCCGACCUGAGAGGGUGAUCGGCCACACUGGAACUGAGACACGGUCCAGACUCCUACGGGAGGCAGCAGUAGGGAAUCUUCCGCAAUGGGCGAAAGCCUGACGGAGCAACGCCGCGUGAGUGAUGAAGGUCUUCGGAUCGUAAAACUCUGUUAUUAGGGAAGAACAUAUGUGUAAGUAACUGUGCACAUCUUGACGGUACCUAAUCAGAAAGCCACGGCUAACUACGUGCCAGCAGCCGCGGUAAUACGUAGGUGGCAAGCGUUAUCCGGAAUUAUUGGGCGUAAAGCGCGCGUAGGCGGUUUUUUAAGUCUGAUGUGAAAGCCCACGGCUCAACCGUGGAGGGUCAUUGGAAACUGGAAAACUUGAGUGCAGAAGAGGAAAGUGGAAUUCCAUGUGUAGCGGUGAAAUGCGCAGAGAUAUGGAGGAACACCAGUGGCGAAGGCGACUUUCUGGUCUGUAACUGACGCUGAUGUGCGAAAGCGUGGGGAUCAAACAGGAUUAGAUACCCUGGUAGUCCACGCCGUAACCGAUGAGUGCUAAGUGUUAGGGGGUUUCCGCCCCUUAGUGCUGCAGCUAACGCAUUAAGCACUCCGCCUGGGGAGUACGACCGCAAGGUUGAAACUCAAAGGAAUUGACGGGGACCCGCACAAGCGGUGGAGCAUGUGGUUUAAUUCGAAGCAACGCGAAGAACCUUACCAAAUCUUGACAUCCUUUGACAACUCUAGAGAUAGAGCUUUCCCCUUCGGGGGACAAAGUGACAGGUGGUGCAUGGUUGUCGUCAGCUCGUGUCGUGAGAUGUUGGGUUAAGUCCCGCAACGAGCGCAACCCUUAAGCUUAGUUGCCAUCAUUAAGUUGGGCACUCUAAGUUGACUGCCGGUGACAAACCGGAGGAAGGUGGGGAUGACGUCAAAUCAUCAUGCCCCUUAUGAUUUGGGCUACACACGUGCUACAAUGGACAAUACAAAGGGCAGCGAAACCGUGAGGUCAAGCAAAUCCCAUAAAGUUGUUCUCAGUUCGGAUUGUAGUCUGCAACUCGACUACAUGAAGCUGGAAUCGCUAGUAAUCGUAGAUCAGCAUGCUACGGUGAAUACGUUCCCGGGUCU